This is a long non-coding RNA of Microtus ochrogaster (prairie vole), 229 nucleotides long. RefSeq lists it as uncharacterized. Lineage: Eukaryota; Metazoa; Chordata; Mammalia; Rodentia; Cricetidae. The transcript has 2 exons. The record is from RefSeq and is a predicted model, not a curated record.
UUUUCCCUUCAGGAUUUACGAGGGGUGCAGAUCCUGGAAUGCCUGAACCAUCAGUUUUAAGCCUACUUUGGGGAUAAAGGCCUGUUCGGUCAUCUGGAUUUGGAAGCAAUCCAACAUGGAAGGUGUGUACUCUGGCUGGAUGAGAAAGACAUCAUUUCAACGCGUCUGGCAGAGUGGAGCCUGUACUGACUCACGAUAGACUGUCAAAAUAAAUAUUUUAACGAUGUUA